CACAUGCAUCUGGAUCAUAUGAUC
Molecule: non-coding RNA, 24 nt
Filed under: Arabidopsis thaliana (thale cress)
Lineage: Eukaryota; Viridiplantae; Streptophyta; Magnoliopsida; Brassicales; Brassicaceae
Source: RNAcentral